CACCUAACGACAACAGAGAAGAUAAAUCGAGCAGUUUAGGAAGGUGUCCUAUCGGUGAAGGUAGAAGCACGCCUCGUCGCUCGUCUUGCAAGCGGUACCCGAGCCUCAACGUGACAACCUGUAAACAGUAGAGGCGGAGCGGGUGACGCACGUAGCCUCGGAAGGGUGAAGGAGCAUGCCGCUGAGCCAUCUGAGAAGGUGCCAAGUGAGCCACCUUUGGGAUCAUCUGAGCAUGUGAAAGCAGCCAGGGUAGUAGCAAGGACGAGCACGGGGUCGGUGACUUCUCACAAGCUCAACGGUAACUUUGUCUCUCGGUAAGUUAGGUACCGGAAGAGGCAACGGCUGUAGUAUCUGAGUCCAAAAUGAGCAGGUGAUAAAGGAAUCUGGCCACCGCAGGAACAUGUUAGUCAGCUGCUGUGCUGCUUUUGUCGAAGAUGGAAUCGGACCUCCGGUCUUCUGAAAGCUAAGUCGAGGGAACGGGGCCGAGAGGAGGGGACGAGGUUGGGAACUGCAGGGAAGCGUUUGAAAGUUAGGAUAGGGGAGAAGGCUGUACAGGAGCAGGGCCCUACAGUCAGGUAAAAGGAACAGAUUACUUUUCCCCUCGAUGUUAGCGUGUCCCGGGCAGGGCAGUUCUAGCCUUUGCGUGUGUUAUCGUGUAGUAUGUUUCUUCUGUCUCCUGUGACUUUGUCCUUUAUCGGAUAUCUAUGUCCUCGCAUCUCUUUGGGCUCGAGGAGCACGGCACGUGCCUCAGGCGCCAUCCCUAGGGUAUCGAACGCCCAUCUUCAUAGGCACGCUGCCGAUCGGGUGCUUUUUAUUCUUGCGUUAUAAGUUUAAAGCGACGGUAGGUGUUGGCAUUUUCCAGUUGGGAGUCUUUUGCGCAGCAUCGUCGCAGGCUGAGGCAUCAGCUCUGCUAUUUAGGCAUCCGUUGUUCCUGCCGGUGACUUCUUUCCCGUAUCCUGACAUUCUUAGGUCUUGAAGCCCAUCUUCUUGCAUACCCAUCGUCUGUGGUUUGCUGGUAGAUUUUCGUAAACGGCCGUCCCACUUAAUGCUUCUUGUAGGCUGCCAUAGAGUCUCCUCACAUCACCAUCGUGGCCCUCCAAGUCUUCUCGCCUUACGGCAUACCCUUCUGGGUGUCCUUAUCGCUUAGCGUUUAGUCCUCUUUGAAUCGCGUCAUUUGUAGUAUUUUGUGUGUGUCUGUGUGGCUCGGAGCUGCUCUGCCUGGGGGUGUAGAGUCAGGGAUAGGUGGAAUAGAGUUCACGGGUAUACCGUAUGGGUUUGUUUUAAAUAAGAAAACAAAUCCUCCAACCGGGCACAUCUUUGUCUCCCCGGUGGGGUUUAUUUUCACCCAGUGACAGAUCUGCUCUCUGAGGGUGACGGUCACAGUCGCGUCUGGGUGAAGGUCAGGUUUGGGCCAGGAUUUCCUCAGGCUCGGCGCUCGAGUCCCGCUGGAACAGUCUUCAGGGGGUGACUGCCCGUCGUGACAGGUUGGGCAGGAAGGAUGGGCCGGUGGAGAGUGGGAGUUGGUUUUGGCGGUAGGUGGA
Long non-coding RNA from Tyto alba (common barn owl), 1541 nucleotides. RefSeq lists it as uncharacterized. NCBI's taxonomy places the organism in Eukaryota, Metazoa, Chordata, Aves, Strigiformes, Tytonidae. The transcript is spliced from 5 exons. The record is from RefSeq and is a predicted model, not a curated record.